GAUAAACGCUGGCGGCGCACAUAAGACAUGCAAGUCGAACGAACUUAACCUUAAUAUUUAUAUUUAGGAGCGGUUAGUGGCGGACUGGUGAGUAACACGUAAGCAAUCUGCCUAUCAGAGGGGAAUAACAGUGAGAAAUCAUUGCUAAUACCGCAUAUGCUCACAGAACCACAUGGUUCAGUGAGGAAAGGAGUAAUCCACUGAUAGAUGAGCUUGCGCCUGAUUAGCUAGUUGGUGAGGUAAUGGCUUACCAAGGCGACGAUCAGUAGCCGGACUGAGAGGUUGAACGGCCACAUUGGGACUGAGAUACGGCCCAGACUCCUACGGGAGGCAGCAGUCGGGAAUAUUGCGCAAUGGAGGAAACUCUGACGCAGUGACGCCGCGUAUGGGAAGAAGGUUUUCGGAUUGUAAACCAUUUUAGACAGGGAAGAAAAAUGACAGUACCUGUAGAAUAAGCUCCGGCUAACUACGUGCCAGCCGCCGCAGUAAGA
RNAcentral lists this ribosomal RNA (491 nucleotides) under uncultured bacterium. RNAcentral describes it as "bacterial SSU rRNA". It matches the Rfam family "Bacterial small subunit ribosomal RNA", at positions 28 to 525 of the family's 1533-position model. The record is from RNAcentral.